ACCUACGGGGGGCAGCAGUAGGGAAUUUUCGUCAAUGGGCGCAAGCCUGAACGAGCAAUGCCGCGUGAACGAGGAAGGUCUUCGGAUCGUAAAGUUCUGUUGAAGGGGAAAAAGAGCGGAGAGAGGAAAUGCUUUCUGAUUGAUAUUACCCUUCGAGGAAGUCACGGCUAACUACGUGCCAGCAGCCGCGGUAAUACGUAGGUAGCGAGCGUUAUCCGGAAUGAUUGGGCGUAAAGGGUGCGUAGGCGGCCUGCUAAGUCUGGAGUGAAAGGUACCGGCUCAACCGGUACAGGCUCUGGAAACUG
RNAcentral lists this ribosomal RNA (305 nucleotides) under uncultured bacterium. RNAcentral's name for it is "bacterial SSU rRNA". It matches the Rfam family "Bacterial small subunit ribosomal RNA", at positions 337 to 635 of the family's 1533-position model. The record is from RNAcentral.